RNAcentral lists this ribosomal RNA (433 nucleotides) under uncultured bacterium. RNAcentral describes it as "partial 16S ribosomal RNA". It matches the Rfam family "Bacterial small subunit ribosomal RNA", at positions 29 to 507 of the family's 1533-position model. The record is from RNAcentral.
AACGAACGCUGGCGGCAUGCCUAACACAUUCAAGUCGAACGAUACCUUCGGGUCUAGUGGCGCACGGGUGCGUAACGCGUGGGAACCUGCCCUUAGGUUCUUAAUAACUCCCCGCAAGGGGUUCUAAUACCGGAUAAUGUCUUCGGACCAAAGAUUUAUCGCCUUUGGAUGGGCCCGCGUUGGAUUAGCUAGUUGGUAGGGUAAAAGCCUACCAAGGCGACGAUCCAUAGCUGGUCUGAGAGGAUGAUCAGCCACACUGGGACUGAGACACGGCCCAGACUCCUACGGGAGGAAGCAGUGGGGAAGAUUGGACAAUGGGCGAAAGACUGAGCCAGCAAUGCCGCGUGAGUGAGGAAGGACUUAGGGUUGUAAAGCUCUUUUACCCGGGAUGAUAAUGACAGUACCGGGAGAAUAAGCUCCGGCUAACUCCGUG